Molecule: ribosomal RNA, 487 nt
Filed under: uncultured bacterium
Lineage: Bacteria
Description: bacterial SSU rRNA
Rfam family: Bacterial small subunit ribosomal RNA
Source: RNAcentral
GAUCAUGGCUCAGGACGAACGCUGGCGGCGUGCCUAACACAUGCAAGUCGAGCGAUGAAAUCCUCGGGAUGGAUUAGCGGCGGACGGGUGAGUAACACGUGGGUAACCUGCCUUGUAGAGGGGGAUAGCCUUCCGAAAGGAAGAUUAAUACCGCAUAACAUCUUUUUAUCGCAUGGUAGAAAGAUCAAAGGAGUAAUCCGCUACAAGAUGGACCCGCGGCGCAUUAGCUAGUUGGUGAGGUAACGGCUCACCAAGGCGACGAUGCGUAGCCGACCUGAGAGGGUGAUCGGCCACAUUGGAACUGAGACACGGUCCAGACUCCUACGGGAGGCAGCAGUGGGGAAUAUUGCGCAAUGGGGGGAAAAACCCCUGACGCAGCAACGCCGCGUGAAUGAAGAAGGCCUUAGGGUUGUAAAGUUCUGUUUACGGGGACGAUAAUGACGGUACCCGUGGAGGAAGCCACGGCUAACUACGUGCCAGCAGCCGC